GCCUGCCCAGUGACUCUUUAAACGGCCGCGGUAUCCUAACCGUGCAAAGGUCGCAUAAUCACUUGUCCCUUAAAUCGGGACUAGAAUGAACGGCUAAAUGAGGACUAAACUGUCUCUUACAGGCUAGCCAAUGAAAUUGAUUUUCCAGUACAAAAGCUGGAAUAUAACCACAAGACGAGAAGACCCUGUGGAGCUUAAAACCAAAUUCACCAAACAUGUCUCAUUGGUUUUCAGUUGGGGCGACUUCGGAGUACAAAAUAACCUCCAAACAUAAAACUAAUUAAGAACAACACAUCAAAAUAUGUUUAUAAUGACCCAGCAACCCUGUAGUUGUCUGAUUAAUGAACCAAGUUACCCCAGGGAUAACAGCGCCAUCCCCUUCUAGAGUCCCUAUCGACAAGGGGGUUUACGACCUCGAUGUUGGAUCAGGACACCCCAAUGGUGCAGCCGCCAUUAACGGUUCGUUUGUUCAACGAUUAAAGUCCAACGUGAU
Molecule: ribosomal RNA, 493 nt
Filed under: Anatololacerta sp. CI-2014a
Lineage: Eukaryota; Metazoa; Chordata; Lepidosauria; Squamata; Lacertidae
Description: partial 16S ribosomal RNA
Rfam family: Bacterial large subunit ribosomal RNA
Source: RNAcentral